This 462-nucleotide ribosomal RNA is filed under the name uncultured bacterium. Its description in RNAcentral is "partial 16S ribosomal RNA". It matches the Rfam family "Bacterial small subunit ribosomal RNA", at positions 29 to 507 of the family's 1533-position model. The record is from RNAcentral.
AUGAACGCUGACAGAAUGCUUAACACAUGCAAGUCUUUGGCGAAGCUGUGCUUGCACAGCCUAGCCAAGGCGGACGGGUGAGUAACGCGUAAGGAACUUGCCCUGCAGUCAGGGAUAACAGACGGAAACGACUGAUAAGACCUGGUAAAGUCAGGCGGACUCAUGUCCAGCCUGAUGAAAAGAGAUGCUGCAGGAGAGCCUUGCGUCCUAUUAGCUUGUUGGUGGGGUAACGGCCCACCAAGGCGAUGAUAGGUAGCCGGCCUGAGAGGGUGGACGGCCACAAGGGGACUGAGAUACGGCCCUUACUCCUACGGGAGGCAGCAGUGGGGAAUAUUGGACAAUGGGGGCAACCCUGAUCCAGCAAUUCUGUGCGCACGAUGAAGGUUUUCGGAUUGUAAAGUGCUUUCAGCAGGGAAGAAAAAAAUGACGGUACCUGCAGAAGAAGCGACGGCUAAAUACGUG